CACAAAUGAAAUAUGAAGGCCCUUCAAACCGGCUGGAUUAUUUUUCUUCACCCUUGUCUUUUGCGCACUUGUUGUUUCCUGGGCGGGUUCGCUCGCCACCAGGACCACACCAUAAACCUUUUUGUUAAUGCAAUCAGCGUCAGUAAAAAGUAUAAUUAUUUUA
This 163-nucleotide unclassified non-coding RNA is filed under the name soil metagenome. RNAcentral's name for it is "partial internal transcribed spacer 1". The record is from RNAcentral.